GCCCCCGUAGCUCAAUUGGAUAGAGCAGUUCCCUCCUAAGGAAAAGGUUGGUGGUUCAAUUCCGCCCGGGGGCGCCA
This 77-nucleotide transfer RNA is filed under the name Elusimicrobiota bacterium. RNAcentral's name for it is "Elusimicrobia bacterium (groundwater metagenome) tRNA-Arg". It matches the Rfam family "tRNA". From Rfam's summary of the family: Transfer RNA (tRNA) molecules are approximately 80 nucleotides in length. Their secondary structure includes four short double-helical elements and three loops (D, anti-codon, and T loops). Lineage: Bacteria; Pseudomonadati; Elusimicrobiota. The record is from RNAcentral.